This 465-nucleotide ribosomal RNA is filed under the name uncultured bacterium. RNAcentral's name for it is "partial 16S ribosomal RNA". It matches the Rfam family "Bacterial small subunit ribosomal RNA", at positions 28 to 507 of the family's 1533-position model. The record is from RNAcentral.
GAUGAACGCUGGCGGCGUGCUUAACACAUGCAAGUCGAACGGAAAGGCUCCUGCUUGCAGGGGUACUCGAGUGGCGAACGGGUGAGUAACACGUGGGUGAUCUGCCCUGCACUUCGGGAUAAGCCUGGGAAACUGGGUCUAAUACCGGAUAGGACCACAUUUUGGAUGGUGUGGUGGAAAGUUUUUCGGUGUGGGAUGAGCUCGCGGCCUAUCAGCUUGUUGGUGGGGUAAUGGCCUACCAAGGCGUCGACGGGUAGCCGGCCUGAGAGGGUGUACGGCCACAUUGGGACUGAGAUACGGCCCAGACUCCUACGGGAGGCAGCAGUGGGGAAUAUUGCACAAUGGGCGCAAGCCUGAUGCAGCGACGCCGCGUGGGGGAUGACGGCCUUCGGGUUGUAAACCCCUUUCGCUAGGGACGAAGCGCAAGUGACGGUACCUGGAGAAGAAGCGCCGGCUAACUACGUG